RNAcentral lists this ribosomal RNA (433 nucleotides) under uncultured Coprococcus sp. Its description in RNAcentral is "partial 16S ribosomal RNA". It matches the Rfam family "Bacterial small subunit ribosomal RNA", at positions 341 to 792 of the family's 1533-position model. The record is from RNAcentral. Lineage: Bacteria; Bacillati; Bacillota; Clostridia; Lachnospirales; Lachnospiraceae.
ACGGAAGGCAGCAGUGGGGAAUAUUGCACAAUGGGGGAAACCCUGAUGUAGCGACGCCGCGUGAGUGAAGAAGUAUUUCGGUAUGUAAAGCUCUAUCAGCAGGGAAGAAAAUGACGGUACCUGACUAAGAAGCCCCGGCUAACUACGUGCCAGCAGCCGCGGUAAUACGUAGGGGGCAAGCGUUAUCCGGAUUUACUGGGUGUAAAGGGUGCGUAGGCGGCACGGCAAGUCAGAAGUGAAAUCCCAGGGCUCAACCCUGGAACUGCUUUUGAAACUGUCGAGCUAGAGUACAGGAGGGUAAGCGGAAUUCCUAGUGUAGCGGUGAAAUGCGUAGAUAUUAGGAGGAACACCAGUGGCGAAGGCGGCUUACUGGACUGACACUGACGCUGAGGCACGAAAGCGUGGGGAGCAAACAGGAUUAGAUACCCUGGUA